GCGAUAGUAGCUCAACGGCAGAGCACCUCACUGUGGAUGAGGUGGUUGAGGGUUCGAAACCCUUCUAUCGCC
This 72-nucleotide transfer RNA is filed under the name Anaerolineales bacterium. RNAcentral's name for it is "tRNA-His". It matches the Rfam family "tRNA". Rfam says of the family: Transfer RNA (tRNA) molecules are approximately 80 nucleotides in length. Their secondary structure includes four short double-helical elements and three loops (D, anti-codon, and T loops). The record is from RNAcentral. Lineage: Bacteria; Bacillati; Chloroflexota; Anaerolineae; Anaerolineales.